AUUGCUUCUUGGCCUUUUGGCUAAGAUCGAGUGUAGUAUCUGUUCUUACAGUUUAAUAUCUGAUACGUCCUCUAUCCGAGGACAAUAUAUUAAGCGGAUUUUUGGAACAGGGAGAUGGAAUAGGAGCUUGCUCCGUCCACUCCACGCAUCGACUUGGUAUUGCAGUACCUCCAGGAACCGUGCACCAAAA
This 190-nucleotide small nuclear RNA is filed under the name Castor canadensis (American beaver). Its description in RNAcentral is "U2 spliceosomal RNA (ENSCCNG00000005107.1)". It matches the Rfam family "U2 spliceosomal RNA". Rfam says of the family: U2 is a small nuclear RNA (snRNA) component of the spliceosome (involved in pre-mRNA splicing). Complementary binding between U2 snRNA (in an area lying towards the 5' end but 3' to hairpin I) and the branchpoint sequence (BPS) of the intron results the bulging out of an unpaired adenosine, on the BPS, which initiates a nucleophilic attack at the intronic 5' splice site, thus starting the first of two transesterification reactions that mediate splicing. The record is from Rfam by way of RNAcentral. Lineage: Eukaryota; Metazoa; Chordata; Mammalia; Rodentia; Castoridae.